GGUCCCGUAGUAAAAUGGAUAUUAUGCAAGCCUCCGGAGCUUGAGGUGCAGGUUCGAUUCCUGCCGGGACCA
This 72-nucleotide transfer RNA is filed under the name Imperialibacter roseus. RNAcentral describes it as "tRNA-Arg". It matches the Rfam family "tRNA". Rfam says of the family: Transfer RNA (tRNA) molecules are approximately 80 nucleotides in length. Their secondary structure includes four short double-helical elements and three loops (D, anti-codon, and T loops). RNAcentral also lists the same sequence under 4 other names. The record is from RNAcentral. Lineage: Bacteria; Pseudomonadati; Bacteroidota; Cytophagia; Cytophagales; Flammeovirgaceae.